GGUUGGAUGAGCCCGGCGUUGGAGGGCUGCUGGCUGGAAAAGAACUCCACGCGGCCGGGAAUGAAGCGCGCCCAGGUCCGCUGCGCCGCCAGCGCACGGCUGCCCAGCCUGGAUUUCACAGUUUCUAUUCCUGUGAUGUCAUUUAAACAUUCUUCUGGGAUUUCUGAAUGUCCUGCGAAUUGGUCAUCCACCGAAGAUCCAGUAAUGUCAGACAUCCAGAGACUUACUCUGCAUUCAUGCUCCUCUCUCAGUACUGCUUCAUUUGUAAACAUUGCAUAGGAAAUCAGCGCUGCUAGGCUCAAGCAAUUCAGCUACCAAGGCCCCUAAGCCAAAUCCAGCCUCCCACCUCUUUUGGGGUGAUGACUACUUACUUCAGUUGCUUCUUUUGUGAUGUUUUGAUGUUAUUUUCAGGUUCCAUACCCUUGGAUUCAACCAAUUAUGGAAAACGUGGACAUGUCUAGAAUCCUAUAAUGGUUGUGUCUCUACUGAACGUG
This is a long non-coding RNA of Sorex araneus (European shrew), 494 nucleotides long. RefSeq lists it as uncharacterized. NCBI's taxonomy places the organism in Eukaryota, Metazoa, Chordata, Mammalia, Eulipotyphla, Soricidae. The record is from RefSeq and is a predicted model, not a curated record. The transcript has 5 exons.